CUACGGGCGGCUGCAGUGGGGAAUAUUGCACAAUGGGCGCAAGCCUGAUGCAGCCAUGCCGCGUGUAUGAAGAAGGCCUUCGGGUUGUAAAGUACCUUCAGCGGGGAGGAAGGGAGUAAAGUUAAUACCUUUGCUCAUUGACGUUACCCGCAGAAGAAGCACCGGCUAACUCCGUGCCAGCAGCCGCGGUAAUACGGAGGGUGCAAGCGUUAAUCGGAAUUACUGGGCGUAAAGCGCACGCAGGCGGUUUGUUAAGUCAGAUGUGAAACCCCCGGGCUCAACCUGGGAACUGCAUCUGAUACUGGCAAGCUUGAGUCUCGUAGAGGGGGGUAGAAUUCCAGGUGUAGCGGUGAAAUGCGUAGAGAUCUGGAGGAAUACCGGUGGCGAAGGCGGCCCCCUGGACGAAGACUGACGCUCAGGUGCGAAAGCGUGGGGAGCAAACAGGAUUAGAUACCCUUGUAGUC
Molecule: ribosomal RNA, 464 nt
Filed under: uncultured bacterium
Lineage: Bacteria
Description: partial 16S ribosomal RNA
Rfam family: Bacterial small subunit ribosomal RNA
Source: RNAcentral